Molecule: ribosomal RNA, 253 nt
Filed under: uncultured bacterium
Lineage: Bacteria
Description: partial 16S ribosomal RNA
Rfam family: Bacterial small subunit ribosomal RNA
Source: RNAcentral
UACGAAGGGGGCUAGCGUUGUUCGGAGUUACUGGGCGUAAAGGGCGCGUAGGCGGCGCACCAAGUCAGGCGUGAAAGCCCUGGGCUCAACCCGGGAAUUGCGCUUGAGACUGGUGUGCUUGAGUACGGGAGAGGAUAGUGGAAUUCCCAGUGUAGAGGUGAAAUUCGUAGAUAUUCGCAAGAACACCAGUGGCGAAGGCGGCUCACUGGCCCGAUACUGACGCUGAGGCACGAAAGCGUGGGGAGCAAACAGG